GUAAGAGAAUUAUUUUUAAAAAGCUUCUAAGAUAAAGAGCACAGGUGGCUACCACCAGCAUGAGGAGCCCACUUCAAAUUGAUGAAGUAAAAGAAGCAAAAUGCAGCGUUCAAGGCAUGUUUCAAGAAGUUGGCUUGUGGGACUUUGAGAGAUGCUGCUAUCUGUGACAGGCUGGAAGUAUCAUGAUCAACUACUCAGUUUGGAUUUCACCCAGUGGCCAUGAGCUUUGUUUGGUAGACAGCAGGGGCUGGAUUUUUAAAAAAGAGCAAACCAGGUAA
Molecule: long non-coding RNA, 278 nt
Organism: Onychomys torridus (southern grasshopper mouse)
Lineage: Eukaryota; Metazoa; Chordata; Mammalia; Rodentia; Cricetidae
Exons: 3
Source: RefSeq, a predicted model, not a curated record